AAACAUUGCCCGACCAUAAUGCGUAAUGUACCCCUUGGUCGGGGCUAGAAAAUGCUAGCGGUCAUAUUUGUAAACACAAGUUUUGUGAGCUGCUCUCACUUUAUUAUGGAAUUGAAAAAUGGACACCCUUGAUAAUGAUAGUUGAUGAAGUUAUGGCUCGGGAACAGGAAGAGCCAAAGUAUUCUGCUGAUAUGAAGGCGUUGAAGUUUAGUAAAGUGCAUUUCGGAAUGUUUUACGGUGCUUGUAGGUAUAGUGAUUACCUUUCGCUCAAAACGAAAAUUUUCUUCCAUAGGAUAAGUGAAAGCAACAGCAAAAGAUGUUCCCGUUCCGGCGUCAUUUUAGCAUCAUCUUGUUUGUAGCCAAGUUGUAGUUGUUGUUGUUGUAGUUGUUUUUUAAAACAAAUUACACUAUAUCAUCAACUGUCCUGUGCUAUGGUGGGAAUAUAUCCCCCCAUACUAGUAUCUUUCUAGCAGUAGAUUAAUCGAUCAUAUCAGAUUUUUCAAUGCAGUUGUCGUGCAAAAUUUGUGUGAGAAACAUCGUGUUUUUGAAUGGUAUACAUUCUUAACAACCCGUUGUUGAUAUGGUCAAGUCUAC
Molecule: long non-coding RNA, 594 nt
Organism: Aedes aegypti (yellow fever mosquito)
Lineage: Eukaryota; Metazoa; Arthropoda; Insecta; Diptera; Culicidae
Exons: 2
Source: RefSeq, a predicted model, not a curated record